This 497-nucleotide ribosomal RNA is filed under the name uncultured bacterium. RNAcentral's name for it is "partial 16S ribosomal RNA". It matches the Rfam family "Bacterial small subunit ribosomal RNA", at positions 28 to 507 of the family's 1533-position model. The record is from RNAcentral.
GACGAACGCUGGCGGCGUGCCUAAUACAUGCAAGUUGAGCGCUGAAGGUUGGUACUUGUACCAACUGGAUGAGCAGCGAACGGGUGAGUAACGCGUGGGUAAUCUGCCUUUGAGCGGGGGACAACAUCUGGAAACGAAUGCUAAUACCGCAUAAAAACUUUAAACACAAGUUUUAAGUUUGAAAGAUGCUAUUGCAUCACUCAAAGAUGAUCCCGCGUUGUAUUAGCUAGUUGGUGAGGUAAAGGCGCACCAGGGCGAUGAUACAUAGCCGACCUGAGAGGGUGAUCGGCCACAUUGGGACUGAGACACGGCCCAAGCUCCGACGGGAGGCAGCAGUAGGGGAGCGUCGGCAAGGGACGAGAGUCUGACCGUGCAACGCCGCGGGAGUGUGGAAGGUUGUCGGAUCGGAAAACUAUGUUUGUAGAGAAGAACGUGGGUGAGAGUUGAAAGCUCAUCAAGUGACGGUAACUAGCCAGAAAGGGACGGCUAACUACGUG